Molecule: unclassified non-coding RNA, 1102 nt
Filed under: Hevea brasiliensis (rubber tree)
Lineage: Eukaryota; Viridiplantae; Streptophyta; Magnoliopsida; Malpighiales; Euphorbiaceae
Source: RNAcentral
CCUUAUAUUUUGAGAUCUUUCUUAGGCAUAUUAAUGGGUUCCAUUGACAAGGAAGUAGAGGUUGAGAUAGCCCCUUUUGUCAGAAUUUACAAGGAUGGCUCUGUGGAACGACUAAUGGGAGCUCCAAUCGUGCCUCCGUCAUCUCAAGACCCAGAAACCGGUGUCUCAUCCAAGGACAUCACCAUCUCACAGAACCCUCCCAUCUCAGCAAGACUCUACCUUCCAAAGCUCACUGAACCCACCCAGCAGGUACUCCCUAUCUUGGUCUACUUCCAUGGUGGAGGCUUCUGCAUAGAUUCUGCCUUCUCCUUAAACGAAACCAAGUACAUGAACAGCUUGAUUUCUCAAGCCAAAGUCGUUGCUAUCUCAGUAGAGUACAGGUUAGCCCCCGAACAUCUUCUCCCGAUUGCUUAUGAAGACUGUUGGGCUGCCCUUCAAUGGGUUGCAUCACACUCUAUCGAAAAGGGAAUCAAUAAUAAAGACCCAUGGAUAUCAAAUUAUGGUGAUCUUGGGAGACUUUAUAUUGGUGGUGAUAGCGCAGGGGCCAAUAUUGCUCACAAUAUACUCAUGCGAGCUAGCACUGAAGCCUUGCCUGGAGAUGUCAAGAUUUUCGGUGCUUAUCUCACCCACCCUUUCUUCUGGGGCGCAGAACCAGUAGGGUCAGAAUAUAGAGUAGAACGCGAGAAGCAGAUAACAUACACGCUUUGGGCUAUGGUAUAUCCGUCGGCUCCCGGUGGCAUUGACAAUCCAAUGAUGAAUCCGGUUGCUUCAGGAGCUCCAAACUUGGGUGGACUUGGGUGUUCCCAGUUGCUAGUCAGUGUUGCUGAAAAGGAUUUGUUGAGGGAUAGGGGUAUUUUGUACCAUAAAGCAGUGAAGGAAAGUGGAUGGAAAGGAGAAGUGGAACUCAUUGAUGUAGAGGGAGAAGGUCAUGCUUUCCAUAUUCUGAAUUGUGAGACCGAGAGUGCUAAGAAUUUGAUCAAACGCUUGGCUUCUUUUCUGCUAAAGUAACAGAUUCUUGGGCUAUUCGGAGGCAGGGUAUGUCAACAAAUAAGCAUAGACGCUAGACAAUUUCCCGUUUUCUUUAUAUUAUACGUGCCUGUUU